GCAGCGGCGGCGGCGCUGAGGGGGCCGAGGGACAAGAGUAGGACUGGAGGGAAGUGCGCGAUUACCUGUCGGAGGUCCCCCGAGCCCCGCGGAUCUCCCGCGGAGGAAGCCUGGCUCUUGGUUGGGACACCUGUUCGCGAGAGGCGAAGGCGCCUGGAGGAAUUUGGAAACCAGACGUCUCUCUCUCUGCUGUUGCAAAUCGCAGGACUUUACCUACGGGGAACAACCUGGCGGUGGCAUUUUGGCCAUAGCUGCCGUGCAAAGGGCACAUUGUACCAGGCAACCUUCCUAGGAGGCAGUGGAGAUAUCGGCCUUGCCUUCCCCCUCUCCUGCUUGGGGAGGUGGGCAAUGGCAGGCUCUGGACAGCUUGCCUUCCUCCUGACAGUGUCUCUCCAGUCCUUUUUACAGCCUGCACUGGGUCAAGGUGGGUACUCCCUUCCCUGUCAUAAAGUAAAGGGGAAUAGAAGGAGGUGUUUGCGUGUGCGUGUGUGGGAAUUUCCAGCACCUCUGCUGUGUGUGGUUUUAAACAACUCACAUCUUGUUCAAAAGGGUAUUUGGUGAGCAGCAGGCAGAAUGUCAUCUCUGCAUCACCUUCAUCCAGCAUAGCAGAGAAGGUCCCCAGACAGAACUUCUCUUUCACGUUAGGAUGAUCUCAAAAUAACAGCCUGCUUGUUGUAAGUUGUACACCAGAUUCAGUGAACUCAGCCUCCUGAUUCUGUGCUUACAUUUAUUUCUCCCUUGGGAGAUGAGCUUUGUUUUAGUACACACCGGAUAGGAUAUCUCCACCUGAUAGUUCCUAAACAUCUCUGAAUGCCAACUUUCAAAUAUUAUCCAACAUAAAUCAGUGUUACAGGUUAUCUAUUGCUCGUUAUGUUAUUAUAUAAUCCUAAACCCGAUUGCAUAUCAAUAAUAGCAAUUCCCGGUGUGGUGUAGUAGAGUGACAGACUAGCACUCUGGAGGACAGGGUUAGAAUCCCCACUUGGUCAUGGAAACUUACUGGGAGCCUGGAACUAGUAAAACAACUCUUUAAAUAUCUCACUUACCUUGAAAGCCCUAUCAGUUCUAGUGCCCAGGGGUGCGCUUGUCCCCAGUCACCCAUGCCAUUUCAGUGGAGGCCUCAGUUAUUUAGGAAACUGCUGUUUCAAAUGGCCUAGAUUUCUAUUGAUUGUGACACAGAGUUUGAAACUGAGAUGACAGAUCAUCCUAAAAAUGGAGCUACGUAGGAAUGUGUCAGGCGUGUUGAAGUGUCCCCACCUCCACCCCUGCUUGUCAACUCAGCCUUGUCUUUACUGACCAGGCCUCAGCCUGAAAGCAGAGCACUUUCAGGGUGUGGCUGAGGCUCUCCCAACCCAAGGAGUGAGCUCUGGCUGAUGCACAGUGGGUGUGGACGCCGCCAAGCGCUGAGGGAAGCCAGCAGAAACUUGGUUGCUCCACCUUGUCCUUGACCUGCAACAACUGGAGCAAUGCUCAGCCUGACACAGAAAUGGAAUGCCUGAGAGCAGAAGCGGCCAAAAGAGGAGCCACACCUUUCCCAGAAGGGUCUGAAAGCAGUGGAUUCAGUGUGUACAUGAGGGCUGGAGACCUGGAUUUGCUUCCUCUUCUCUUUCUGGGAGAUGAAGCGAAUUCAGGUUCCCAGGGCCCCUAAUAUACAGAUAUCCCAUUCACAAAUUGAUUUAAGGUCCUGUAGUCAAGAAGGUGUAUAAGUUAAAUAAAUAAAUAAAUAAAUAAAUAAAUAAAUAAAUA
Molecule: long non-coding RNA, 1743 nt
Organism: Pogona vitticeps (central bearded dragon)
Lineage: Eukaryota; Metazoa; Chordata; Lepidosauria; Squamata; Agamidae
Source: Ensembl